AACGCGAAGAACCUUACCUGGUCUUGACAUCCACAGAACCUUCCAGAGAUGGAUUGGUGCCUACGGGAACUGUGAGACAGGUGCUGCAUGGCUGUCGUCAGCUCGUGUUGUGAAAUGUUGGGUUAAGUCCCGCAACGAGCGCAACCCUUAUCUUUUGUUGCCAGCGGUCCGGCCGGGAACUCAAAGGAGACUGCCAGUGAUAAACUGGAGGAAGGUGGGGAUGACGUCAAGUCAUCAUGGCCCUUACGACCAGGGCUACACACGUGCUACAAUGGCGCAUACAAAGAGGAGCGACCUCGCGAGAGCAAGCGGACCUCAUAAAGUGUGUCGUAGUCCGGAUUGGAGUCUGCAACUCGACUCCAUGAAGUCGGAAUCGCUAGUAAUCGUGGAUCAGAAUGCCACGGUGAAUACGUUCCCGGGCCUUGUACACACCG
Molecule: ribosomal RNA, 434 nt
Filed under: uncultured bacterium
Lineage: Bacteria
Description: bacterial SSU rRNA
Rfam family: Bacterial small subunit ribosomal RNA
Source: RNAcentral